RNAcentral lists this transfer RNA (1026 nucleotides) under Mesorhizobium sp. S948. RNAcentral's name for it is "partial contains 16S ribosomal RNA, 16S-23S ribosomal RNA intergenic spacer, and 23S ribosomal RNA". The stretch from base 262 to 335 matches the Rfam family "tRNA". The record is from RNAcentral. Lineage: Bacteria; Pseudomonadati; Pseudomonadota; Alphaproteobacteria; Hyphomicrobiales; Phyllobacteriaceae.
UCUUCGGAUGAAAUGAUGAGCCUCUGCCUUUCGGUUCUCUUGGAACAAGACGGCAGAAAGUCAUUCUGACCGUCGUGCAUACCUUAAGCGGGUCUGCCGCCUUCGUUUCUCUUUCUUCAGCGAAUGACUUUGACUUGCGCUCGCGCGCCGUACCGGCCUUUGGCCUGGCGCUCCGCGAGGGCGCGGCACGAGCCGCGACGGCCGCUUGGCCUUGCGAGACGUGCGUCUCGUUGGCGAAAGCCGGCUUGCGGCGCAGUCUAAGGGCUUGUAGCUCAGUUGGUUAGAGCGCGCGCUUGAUAAGCGUGAGGUCGGAGGUUCAAGUCCUCCCAGGCCCACCACUUCGCAAUCUGCAAGAUUGUCGGAUCUUCCUCGAUAUCUGUCGGGAAACACUAUCAGGGGCCGUAGCUCAGCUGGGAGAGCGCCUGCUUUGCAAGCAGGAUGUCGUCGGUUCGAUCCCGUCCGGCUCCACCACUUGCGCAAUCCGCAGGAUUGUCGCUUGCAGCCGCCACUUUGCGGUUUGGCGGGCGCGCAAUCCCGAAGGGAUUGUCGCGGUUCGCGACGAUCCUUACGGAUCGCGUGGAGGUGUCGAGUGGAGGUGGUGAAAAAGUCAUUCGUAAAAAGAGUUUGCGGGAAGCGUCGAGCUUUCCCGCCUGUUCUGUUUUGACAUCGUAAAGAGAAGAUUUGUUCGAACUUCAUGAGCCGCAAGGUUCGUGAUUUGUCGCGGGAGACGCUCAAUCUCCCGCAUAUGAUGGGUUUGCCUAACCGCGCCCUCGAACCGAUCUCGAGAAGCUGGUCUUUUUGUGCCAAUGACAUCAAGCGCCAAUCCCGCACAGGAUUGCGCUUAUGCGACGAUCUCUUCGAGAUCGCGCUGACGCUCAUCCCGCAAGGGAGAGGCUGAAGCGACGAUUUCUUCGAAAUCGCGCGGUGGGCAUUGGCAAUGAGAACGAUCAAGUGUCUUAAGGGCAAUUGGUGGAUGCCUUGGCAUGCACAGGCGAUGAAGGACGUGAUACGCUGCGAUAAGCUACG